RNAcentral lists this ribosomal RNA (440 nucleotides) under uncultured bacterium. Its description in RNAcentral is "partial 16S ribosomal RNA". It matches the Rfam family "Bacterial small subunit ribosomal RNA", at positions 338 to 795 of the family's 1533-position model. The record is from RNAcentral.
CCUACGGGCGGCAGCAGUGGGGAAUAUUGCACAAUGGGGGAAACCCUGAUGCAGCGACGCCGCGUGAGUGAAGAAGGUUUUCGGUUUGUAAAGCUCUAUCGGCAGAGAAGAAAAUGAUGGUACCUGAUUAAGAAGCACCGGCUAACUCCGUGCCAGCAGCCGCGGUAAUACGUAGGGGGCAAGCGUUAUCCGGAUUUACUGGGCGUAAAGGGAGCGUAGACGGCAGAACAAGUCUGAAGUGAAAUGCCGGGGCUUAACCACAGAACUGCUUUGGAAACUGUGAAGCUAGAGUGCAGGAGAGGUAGGUGGAAUUCUUGGUGUAGCGGUGAAAUGCGUAGAUAUUAAGAGGAACACCAGUGGCGAAGGCGGCUUACUGGAAUGUAACUGACGUUGAGGCUCGAAAGCGUGGGGAGCAAACAGGAUUAGAUACCCUGGUAGUC